GAUGAACGCUGGCGGCGUGCUUAACACAUGCAAGUCGAACGGAAAGGCCCAAGCUUGCUUGGGUACUCGAGUGGCGAACGGGUGAGUAACACGUGGGUGAUCUGCCCUGCACUUCGGGAUAAGCCUGGGAAACUGGGUCUAAUACCGGAUAGGACCACAUUUUGGAUGGUGUGGUGGAAAGUUUUUCGGUGUGGGAUGAGCUCGCGGCCUAUCAGCUUGUUGGUGGGGUAAUGGCCUACCAAGGCGUCGACGGGUAGCCGGCCUGAGAGGGUGUACGGCCAAUUGGGCACGAAGAUCCGCCCGAGCCCCCUCCGGGGGGCGGCGGUGGGGAAUAUUGCAAAAGGGGCGCAACCCUGAUGCACCGCCCCCGCGGGGGGGAGGCCGCCUUUGGGUUUGAAAACCCUUUCCCUUGGGGACAAGGGGAAGGGGCCGUCACCGGGAAAAGAGCCCCGGGCAACCUACU
RNAcentral lists this ribosomal RNA (463 nucleotides) under uncultured bacterium. Its description in RNAcentral is "partial 16S ribosomal RNA". It matches the Rfam family "Bacterial small subunit ribosomal RNA", at positions 28 to 506 of the family's 1533-position model. The record is from RNAcentral.